AAAUUCGGAUUAAUGCUCCAUGGUUUAUCGAUAUGGCAUCGUAUUGAUAAUAAAGAUUUAUCGGUAUAAGAUGGGCAUGCGUAUCAUUAGCUAGUUGGUGUGGUAACGGCAUACCAAGGCAACGAUGAUUAGGGGUCCUGAGAGGGAGAUCCCCCACACUGGUACUGAGACACGGACCAGACUCCUACGGGAGGCAGCAGUGAGGAAUAUUGGUCAAUGGAGGCAACUCUGAACCAGCCAUGCCGCGUGCAGGAUGACGGUCCUAUGGAUUGUAAACUGCUUUUGUACAGGAAGAAACCUCCCUACGAGUAGGGACUUGACGGUACUGUAAGAAUAAGGAUCGGCUAACUCCGUGCCAGCAGCCGCGGUAAUACGGAGGAUCCGAGCGUUAUCCGGAAUUAUUGGGUUUAAAGGGUUCGUAGGCGGCUUUGUAAGUCAGUGGUGAAAUUUCCUAGCUUAACUAGGACACUGCCAUUGAUACUGCAGAGCUUGAAUAAUAUGGAAGUAACUAGAAUAUGUAGUGUAGCGGUGAAAUGCUUAAAUAUUACAUGGAAUACCAAUUGCGAAGGCAGGUUACUACGUAUUUAUUGACGCUGAUGAACGAAAGCGUGGGGAGCGAACAGGAUUAGAUACCCUGGUAGUCCACGCCG
RNAcentral lists this ribosomal RNA (650 nucleotides) under Myroides odoratimimus. RNAcentral's name for it is "bacterial SSU rRNA". It matches the Rfam family "Bacterial small subunit ribosomal RNA", at positions 154 to 802 of the family's 1533-position model. The record is from RNAcentral. Lineage: Bacteria; Pseudomonadati; Bacteroidota; Flavobacteriia; Flavobacteriales; Flavobacteriaceae.